Molecule: RNase P RNA, 418 nt
Filed under: Novosphingobium sp.
Lineage: Bacteria; Pseudomonadati; Pseudomonadota; Alphaproteobacteria; Sphingomonadales; Sphingomonadaceae
Description: RNase P RNA component class A
Rfam family: Bacterial RNase P class A
About the family: Ribonuclease P (RNase P) is a ubiquitous endoribonuclease, found in archaea, bacteria and eukarya as well as chloroplasts and mitochondria.
Source: RNAcentral
CCAGGGGGCCGGGCAGCCGCGUCGCUUAUGCGCCGAGGAAAGUCCGGGCUCCACGAAGCAAGGGUGGCGGGUAACCCCCGCCGGGCGGGUCUGCUUGCAGGCGAAGCCCAGGGAAAGUGCCACAGAGAGUAUACCGCCGAUGGCCCCGGAUCAGGUCCGGGGCACAGGCAAGGCUGAAAGGGUGCGGUAAGAGCGCACCGGGGCGUUGGUAACAAGGUCCGCAUGGCAAACCCCACCCGGAGCAAGACCGAAUAGGGGUGUCGCGCCGCAAGGCAGGCCGGCUUCGGCCGAGGCACCCGGGUUGGUUGCUUGAGCGCUGGGGCAACCCAGGGCCUAGAUGAAUGGCUGCCCCUGCGGCGCGGGUCCUUCACGGAUACCACCCGCAGGACAGAACCCGGCUUACAGGCCCCCUGGCACU